UACGGGGGGAGCAAGCGUUGUUCGGAAUUACUGGGCGUAAAGGGCUCGUAGGCGGCCAACUAAGUCAGACGUGAAAUCCCUCGGCUUAACCGGGGAACUGCAUCUGAUACUGGAUGGCUUGAGUUCGGGAGAGGGAUGCGGAAUUCCAGGUGUAGCGGUGAAAUGCGUAGAUAUCUGGAGGAACACCGGUGGCGAAGGCGGCAUCCUGGACCGACACUGACGCUGAGGAGCGAAAGCCAGGGGAGCAAACGGG
Molecule: ribosomal RNA, 253 nt
Filed under: uncultured bacterium
Lineage: Bacteria
Description: partial 16S ribosomal RNA
Rfam family: Bacterial small subunit ribosomal RNA
Source: RNAcentral